UACGGGGGGAGCAAGCGUUGUUCGGAUUUACUGGGCGUAAAGGGCGCGUAGGCGGUAGCACAAGUCAGUUGUGAAAUCUCCGGGCUUAACUCGGAAAGGGCAACUGAUACUGUGCGACUAGAGUGCAGAAGGGGCAACUGGAAUUCUCGGUGUAGCGGUGAAAUGCGUAGAUAUCGAGAGGAACACCUGCGGCGAAGGCGGGUUGCUGGGCUGACACUGACGCUGAGGCGCGAAAGCCAGGGGAGCGAACGGG
RNAcentral lists this ribosomal RNA (253 nucleotides) under uncultured bacterium. RNAcentral describes it as "partial 16S ribosomal RNA". It matches the Rfam family "Bacterial small subunit ribosomal RNA", at positions 524 to 776 of the family's 1533-position model. The record is from RNAcentral.